RNAcentral lists this transfer RNA (77 nucleotides) under Defluviicoccus sp. RNAcentral's name for it is "tRNA-Arg". It matches the Rfam family "tRNA". From Rfam's summary of the family: Transfer RNA (tRNA) molecules are approximately 80 nucleotides in length. Their secondary structure includes four short double-helical elements and three loops (D, anti-codon, and T loops). The record is from RNAcentral. Lineage: Bacteria; Pseudomonadati; Pseudomonadota; Alphaproteobacteria; Rhodospirillales; Rhodospirillaceae.
GGCCCCGUAGCUCAGGUGGAUAGAGCAUCGGUCUUCUAAACCGAAUGUCGCGUGUUCGAAUCACGCCGGGGUCGCCA